This 141-nucleotide unclassified non-coding RNA is filed under the name uncultured fungus. RNAcentral describes it as "sequence contains ITS2". The record is from RNAcentral. Lineage: Eukaryota; Fungi.
UAACCAAUCACGCCUGGCGUGGUCUUGGGGUUCGCGUCCAGCGGCCCUUAAAAUCAGUGGCGGUGUCCGUUGGGCUCUAAGCGUAGUAAUUAUUCUCGCUUCUGGGCUCUGCGGGUACCUGCCAUAACCCCAACUUUCUCA